GUAGGUCCUUGAGGGUGCACAACUGCAAACCAGACAAAAAGAAACUUUGGGGUGCUUGAAGUGCCGCUGACAGAGCUAUCAGUUGGCUUUUUCGUGUGGUCUUUAGGAUUAGCCACUCAAGGAAGCGAGAUGUCCAAACCACUACCCAAACCAGUCAAACCAGGGCAAGUUAAAGUUUUCAGAGCUCUGUAUACAUUUGAACCCAGAACUCCAGAUGAAUUGUACUUUGAAGAAGGUGAUAUUAUUUAUGUUACUGACAUGAGUGAUACCAAUUGGUGGAAAGGCACCUCCAAAGGCAGGACUGGACUAAUUCCAAGCAACUAUGUGGCUGAGCGGGCAGAAUCCAUUGACAAUCCAUUGCAUGAAGCUGCAAAAAGAGGCAACUUGAACUGGUUGAGAGAGUGUUUGGACAACCGAGUGGGUGUUAACGGCUUAGACAAAGCUGGGAGCACAGCCUUAUAUCGGGCUUGUCACAGGGGCCACAAAGAUAUAGUGGAAAUGUUAUUUACUCAACCAAACAUUGAACUGAACCAACAGAACAAGUUGGGAGACACGGCUUUGCACGCUGCUACCCGGAAGGGUUAUGCAGAUAUUGUUCAGUUGCUUCUGGAAAAAAGGUGCUAGAAUGGACUUAAGAAACAAUGAGAAGAAACUGGCCUUCGACAUGGCUGCCUGUGCAUCUCUCCUGAAAAAGAAACAGGAAACAGAUGCUAUUCGAACAUUAAGCAAUGCCGAGGACUAUCUUGAUGAUGACGACUCAGAUUAAUUCCAUUCCGAAGCUUUGAGAUCUAAUACUUCUGUUGCUUUUGCCAUUCCAAAACUUUGUCUUUGCCAGGAGAGUGUUGGUAACUGUAUAAAAAAACAAAGAAGUAUGUAUGGAUCUGACAGU
Otolemur garnettii (small-eared galago) is the source of this 889-nucleotide RNA transcript. It is a transcript of the gene named osteoclast-stimulating factor 1 pseudogene, with no coding region annotated. Lineage: Eukaryota; Metazoa; Chordata; Mammalia; Primates; Galagidae. The transcript has a single exon. The record is from RefSeq and is a predicted model, not a curated record.